UCCGUUAUCUGUGGAGGAUCCUUCGGCCAAUAGAGAAGAGGAAGGGGCCGACUUAGGUUAUGUUAACUUGAGUGGAGAUUACAGGAUUUUAAUUAAUUAAUAAUAUUCGGAUUAAACUUGGAAGUGAGUAAGAUCACAAUGGAAUUGGAAUCUGCUCUAAAAAUUAUAGAAAUUUUGAAGGAAGAGCUGGGCAGUGCGGUUGCAUUGUCUAGUGCUAAUAAAAGUGUCAUACAAAAUAAUGAAAAUGGAUCUCAAAUAUGUCCAAGUGAAAAAAACUGGAUCCAAAUACAAAGAAAUCAGCAAAUGAAGAUAACAGAUAAGUUAAAAGACCACGAGGAAACAUAUGUAACAACAAGUAAUCAUUUUGAAAUUUUAUCUAACCUCAGUGAGGUUAUUAAGUCUACUGAAGCAACAAAGGAAGAAAUUCUCAAACCAAGUAAAACUGUACAAAAUAAUAUCAACAAAAGUAAUUUUCAAGCAAGAGACAGUAAAUACAAGGCUGAUGCAAAAGGACAGAUGAUUAAUAAUAUUUCAGUGAUAAUAAAUGGUCUAGUAACAUCUAAUAACAAUAAAGUUCUGAACAGUGACAUCUUGCAUUCAUAUGACGGUGAGGAAACCGUUGAGGCUAAUGCAAGGAAUAAGAAAGAGGCUCCCAAGGAGAAAGUUGCUGUUCAGCAGCAAGUGCUUCAAAGAACAAAGGAAACCACACUAUAUUAAUUAUUGGAAACAGCCAUGUAAGGAGAUGUGCAAGUAAACUGAGAGAAAAUCUUGAUAAAACUUAUAAGGCCUGUGACUCACCAGCAUGAGACCUCAAGGGACUUGUCUGCCAUAAGAGCAAGGAGCUGUUGCUGUGCAUUCGUAGCAAGCAAGUUACAGCGUUUCUCUGACAUCCAUUUUGCUGCUCUAUCAUCCAUGCUUGGCUCUUUCAGAUAGCCUUUUCUCUUGAGGUUAUGCCAUAAAAAUCUGGGCAUGUCAAGACUGAAGCGAAAAUCUGUGUAUGUCAAGACUGAAGUGAAAAUCUGGGCAUGUCAAGACAGAAGUGAGAAUCUUUGCAUGUCAAGACUGAAGUGAAAAUCUGAGCAUGUCAAGACUGAAGUGAAAAUCUAUGCAUGAAGUGAGAAUCUGAGCAUGUUAAGACUGAAGUGAAAAUCUAUGCAUAUCAGAGCAGAAGUUAAAAUCUGUGCAUGUCAAGACUGAAGUGAAAAUCUGUGCAUGUCAGGACUGAAGUGAAAAUCUGGGCAUGUCAAGACUGAAGUGAAAAUCUGAGCAUGUCAAGACUGAAGUGAAAAUCUAUGCAUGACAAGACUGAAACAUGGCAGGAAGAUAAUAUUACAAUAUUACAGGAAGAAAUAUCAGUUUGAUGUGUGCCGCCAUGUCAGACUGAUACUUAUUUGUUCGACAAACUGCCUCUCUUGCUUUACUAUGUUUGCAUGUAGGAGGAUAACACAUAUGCAUAAUAUCAUCUGACUUUGUGUUUUGCUUUGAUGCUGUCUGUGUGCGGCAUCGGUUACUAUUCACUUGCUAUUCUUUGUUGCCGCUACAUGUUUCGGCCUAACUGAUGGUCAUCAGGUGUACAGACUGUUGUGAUCAUAGAACCUGCUGCUUACCGUGAUGCUGUUCUGUUUCUGUAAAUGUAGAGGACUCGGAUUGCAUCUGGUUAUGUGGGUUAGUCAUCUGUUUUUUGUUUAGGUGUCCUUGAGCUGCUGGUGUUUGCUUCAUGGUUUUGUUUGGCUGUGGCUGUCUUGAAUGUUCUUGCUGGGGCAGGAAUUUGUUUUGUUGAUGGCCAGCUAGUGCACAACAGACAUGGGCAGCUCAAGGACACCUAAAUAAACAACAGAUGGUUAACCUAGAUGCAAUCCAAGGCCCCCACAUAACAGAAACAGAACAGCAUUACAGUAAGCAGCAGGUUCCUUCAUCACAACAACCUGUACACCUGAAGAUGACUGUCAGUUAGGCUGAAACAUAUAGUGAUGACAAAGAGAAAACUAUGAGAGAAUAGUAACCGAUGUGUAACACAGAUGGCAUCAAAGCAAAGUGCAAAGUCAGAUCUAAGCAGUGCAACAGGAUGCGGCAAUAUAACAUUAUGCCUGAUAUCAGUUUAUGUGAAAUUCAUUCAUGGUCUUCUGGCUUAUGGCAUGGUUACCAAAGUUUUCUGCUGGUCUGUUGAAGCCAGGGGCAGUAUGUUCGCUGGUAACCAUCUACCAAGCAACACACUGUCAUAACUUAGGAGACCAGAAUAAGAUUUUUCACCAUUGUGAAAGAUUUAAAUCUGAUAAUGUGUAAACUUGUUUGUAUAUUCAAAUCUGGUGGAUACUGUAAGGAAGUAAUCACUAAAUCACAGGAGUUCUGUUUUUCCGUAUAAAGAAAAGAACUUGAGAGGUAAAGUUAUCCCUGUAACAGGCUGCGGAGGCCCCUAGGGUUGUCAGAUGUCGAGGGUCCCACAUUU
This is a long non-coding RNA of Cryptotermes secundus, 2446 nucleotides long. RefSeq lists it as uncharacterized. The transcript is spliced from 3 exons. NCBI's taxonomy places the organism in Eukaryota, Metazoa, Arthropoda, Insecta, Blattodea, Kalotermitidae. The record is from RefSeq and is a predicted model, not a curated record.